Non-coding RNA from Podarcis lilfordi (Lilford's wall lizard), 8624 nucleotides. Lineage: Eukaryota; Metazoa; Chordata; Lepidosauria; Squamata; Lacertidae. The record is from the annotation of a GenBank genome assembly.
AGAGACAAUCUGAAAUUGCCUUUCAUACCAUUUUGCACUUAUUAUGAAUAUUUAUUCGGUUUGCCCUUUAUGGCAAGUCUGCAACUCAAGAACAUGGAGGGGAGUGAAUUGAGAAAUGGUCCUUAACGUCGUCUCUUUUGAGGCAUUCUAAUACUUUAAGAUGGUUUAAAAAAUUAAAAAGUACCACACCCAGGAUUUCACAUGUGAGCUUGAAAUGAAGCCAAGUCAAUCAGUGACGAGAACACCCGAUGAUAUGAUUCUCUGUAAGCCAAGACAGCUUCAUAGAAGACCCCGAUUUUAGCUACUAAUUGUCCAUGUUUCAUCACACCUGCAAAGACCCUCGUUAAAUCAACAGCAUCACAAAUUUUUGAAGCAUCCAGAUUCUUGAGGCCUUAGUCUUUUCAACAAUCACUACACAUCUCACAUCUGGACGGGUGGAACUCCUAUAACUUCUUAUUAGCUGUAGAUAGAGUGAAAUCUCUGUCCCCAUUUACGAAACUUUCUUGACUUUAAGAAAGCCGACUUCAUAAAACUUAGGGAAGUGCUGGGUGAGAUCCCAUGGACAGUAAUACUAAAAGGAAAGGGAGUUCAUGAUGGCUGGGAGUUUGUUAAGAGGGAGAUAGUAAAAGCACAACGUCAGGCAAUACCAAUGAGACGGAAACAUGGAAGGUGCCUAAAGAAGCCAGGGUGGCUAUCUAAAGAACUUUUAACUGAGUUAAGAUUUAAAAAGGAUGUGUACAAAAAUGGAAAAGGGGAAACCACCAAAGAGGAAUUCAAACAAAUAGCCAGCACGUGUAGACACAAGUCAGAAAAGCUAAAGCACAGAAUGAACUCAGGCUUGCUAGAGAGGUUAAAAGCAACAAAAAAGGCUUUUAUGGGUAUGUUCGUAGCAAAAGGAAGAACAAAGAAACAGUGGGGUCACUCAGAGGAGAAGAUGGUGAAAUGCAAACAGGGGACACAGAAAGGGCUGAACUCCUCAAUGCCUUCUUUGCCUCAGUCUUCUCCGAUAAAGAAAACAAUGCCCGACCUGAAGAAUUUGGAGCAAAUGAUUCAGCAGAGGAAACACAGCCCAGAAUAACUAAGGAGAUAGUACAAGAAUACUUGGCUAGUUUAGAUGUAUUCAAGUCUCCAGGGCCAGAUGAACUGCAUCCAAGAGUAUUAAAAGAACUGGCAGAUGUGAUCUCAGAACCACUGGCAGUCAUCUUUGAGAAUUCCUGGAGAACAGGCGAAGUCCCGGCAGACUGGAGGAGGGCAAAUGUUGUCCCUAUUUUCAAAAAGGGAAAAGAGAGGACCCAAAUAAUUACCGCCCAGUCAGUCUGACAUCAAUACCAGGGAAGAUUCUGGAGCAGAUCAUUAAGCAAACAGUCUGUGAGCACCUAGAAAGGAAUGCUGUGAUCACCAAUAGUCGGCAUGGAUUUCUGAAAAAUAAGUCAUGUCAGACUAACCUGAUCUCGUUUUUUGACAGAAUUACAAGCCUGGUAGAUGAAGGGAACGCAGUGGAUGUAGCCUACCUUGAUUUCAGCAAGGCAUUUGACAAGGUGCCCCAUGAUAUUCUUGUAAAGAAGCUGGUAAAAUGCGGUCUUGACUAUGCUACCACUCAGUGGAUUUGUAACUGGCUGACUGACCGAACCCAAAGGGUGUUCAUCAAUGGUUCCUCUUCAUCCUGGAGAAGAGUGACUAGUGGGGUGCCACAGGGUUCUGUCUUGGGCCCGGUCUUAUUCAACAUCUUUAUCAACGACUUGGAUGAUGGACUCAAGGGCAUCCUGAUCAAAUUUGCGGACGACACCAAACUGGGAGGGGUGGCUAACACCCCAGAGGACAGGAUCACACUUCAAAACGACCUUGACAGAUUAGAGAACUGGGCAAAAACAAACAAGAUGAAUUUUAACAGGGAGAAAUGUAAAGUAUUGCACUUGGGCAAAAAAUGAGAGGCACAAAUACAAGAUGGGUGACACCUGGCUUGAGAGCAGUACAUGUGAAAAGGAUCUAGGAGUCUUGGUUGACCACAAACUUGACAUGAGCCAACAGUGUGACGCGGCAGCUAAAAAGCCAAUGCAAUUCUGGGCUGCAUCAAUAGGAGUAUAGCAUCUAGAUCAAGGGAAGUAAUAGUGCCACUGUAUUCUGCUCUGGUCAGACCUCACCUGGAGUACUGUGUCCAGUUCUGGGCACCACAGUUCAAGAAGGACACUGACAAACUGGAACGUGUCCAGAGGAGGGCAACCAAAAUGGUCAAAGGCCUGGAAACGAUGCCUUAUGAGGAACGGCUAAGGGAGCUGGGCAUGUUUAGCCUGGAGAAGAGGAGGUUAAGGGGUGAUAUGAUAGCCAUGUUCAAAUAUAUAAAAGGAUGUCACAUAGAGGAGGGAGAAAGGUUGUUUUCUGCUGCUCCAGAGAAGCGGACACGGAGCAGUGGAUCCAAACUACAAGAAAGAAGAUUCCACCUAAACAUUAGGAAGAACUUCCUGACAGUAAGAGCUGUUCGACAGUGGAAUUUGCUGCCAAGGAGUGUGGUGAAGUCUCCUUCUUUGGAGGUCUUUAAGCAGAGGCUUGACAACCAUAUGUCAGGAGUGCUCUGAUGGUGUUUCCUGCUUGGCAGGGGGUUGGACUCGAUGGCCCUUGUAGUCUCUUCCAACUCUAUGAUUCUAUGAUUCUAUGAAACAGAAACCCAACCAAAACAACAGGAUUCUUUUGUGGCAGCAAACACCAUGUUGUGCAGUAGAGAGACUUGCUUACAAUAGAUUCAUCAUAUUUUUACGGUCCUCCCAAGUGAUGAUGGCUACAAAUGCUAGUUCUGCUUACUACCUUUUUGUACCUCCUCCAAAAAUGUUAGGACAAUGUGCAGGGUUUUCUCCCAUAUUAUCCUCUCAAAAAUACUAUGAGGUAGGUUAGGCUGAGAGAUUGUCACUGGCCCAAAGGUCACCCAGCAGACUUAAUGGCUGAUCAGGAAUGUGAAUCUUCUCUUCCCCUCCCCCUUACUCUUUCUGCUUAUCAGAGUUUGGGAUUAGGAAGUGGAUAGACAGCUGUGCUUGUGCAGGCAUCUGAAAUGUUAUUUUAAUAGUAUGAAGUACAAAGUCUGCCACUUGAAUAAUAACAAGUAUCAGAUGAAGGAGGAAUCGGAAAGAAAGAGAUCUGAAGCUGAACAUAGGAUUAUCGAGAGUCAGAAAUACAGCUAUAAAAAUGGAACAUAAAAAUCCAUCAAUGUAUUAAUUAGGUGUUAUGCUUUUAACAGGGCAGAGAAGUAUUAAAAGCAUUCUUAAUAAGGAUGAUUAAAAGCACAUAUUUUUAAUCAUCUUUAUUAAUCACAGAAGUAUGAGAGUUGUAAGUGGCAUCACCAGGUAGGGAAGAUGAGGCAUUCUUGCUUCUUUACCUGCCACACAAAGAAACCGUACUAACAAGAUAGGCAUCUACAACUUUUCAGAGUGUCACUUAGCCCAUUCCCAGCACUGACAAAUGUCCUUGUGUUGGCUGUGUCUGGAAGUGCUGGUGAUACAGGAACAUGAAUGCUGUUGUGGCCCAACUGAACUUGGCUGGAAAAAAAUCUCAUCAACUCUUUUCCAUAUGGCAAUAACAAUUCCGAGUUGCAUCAGUCAAAAUAAAGCUUCAGUCUCUAUGCAAAAUCAAUAUUUUGCCUAUGUACAUUACUCUAGGCCUAGAGGCAAAAGACUUGCUUGCUAGGCUGGGAUUUUAAUUUAAUCUUUGACAGAUUUUGUUACUGAACAUGUUCUGUAAAUCACAUUGGUCCCACUCACAUUGGUGCAUAUUUCAUUGUAAAUAAAUCACACUGGAAAGUGUUUUGAAUUGCAAACAGAAUGGGAUUAGCCACUGCCUUUUGGGGGUUGUUAUUGUUUCUGCUCACAGCCCUAAACAGAGAUCAAAUGAGCACUGGAAAUUCCAAGGAUUAGGUGCCUUCCAACAAAUUUCACUGCAAACGCCAGAAUUUUAAUUUUUAUUUAGCUGGUGGCUUCACAGAUAACCUUUGGAAGGCAAGCGGCUUAGGCUGCUGAGGCCCAAAGAUGCAGCCUUGGCCUCAAUCCAAGCUGUCCUCUCUUAGGGCAGCAAAAGUCGCUCAACACAAGGCAUGGCAUACACUUGUUCUUUAUUAGGAGUGGAGGGUUAUUGGUUUGUUUUUGUUUUUUUAAAUGUGUUUUGUGUUCUCAUUUUGUAUUUUUACGUUGUGCACUGCCCUGUGAUCUUUGAAUGAAGGGCAGUAUACAAAUUUAAUAAAUAAUAAAUUAUUACCUAUUAGGGAUGCUUGCUGCUGAUCUUGGAAAAAAAACAUUUGGUGACAGGGUGGUGGGAUAGCCAGUACAGAAAUACUGUUGCUAUUCUGCUUUGCUAUUUUCCUGGUUGUGCUAUUUUCCAAAGUAUAUAAUCUUAGCCAAUGAAACAGGAAAAGUGGCUACAGCUGUUAAUACUGGUCAUUGACUGUAAGAAAUUGAUUGACUACAGCUGUCACCAGGCUGUUGAGAAUUGUUUUUGUCUCUUCUCUCUCUCUCCUCCUACCCUUGACAUUGUUCCUCAUUUUUCAGACUUUAGCAUCAGUGCUAGUCAACAUGCAGUUUUAAACGUAUGUAUUAAAACAUUGUGUGCUUGGGAUUAAAUGUUUUCUUGCUCAGGUGUUAGCCUUUUGAGCUAGCAGUCUUAAUCAUGGGUCUUCCAUUCUGCAACUGGAAUUGCAGUGGAAGGGAAAUUAAGUGUUCAACUCCAUCACUACCAUGUAUUGAGCAGGCUGGAAGUCUGGAUGUAUUUGAGUAUAUAAUGUCAGCAAUGUUUAAUACUGUACAUGGCAAGGCUUGCAGGCAGUGAUCCUUGUUGUGUUUCUGGGGGUGCUAUAAACACCCGAGGGUGUGCCUGUUUUCAUUAAUGAAAAGUUGGGAGAUGAAGUGCUAAUUGAGGCACUACUGGAAAUGAGUUUUCUAGAACUGAUGUGAUCACUUUUCUCCUUCCCUCAUUUUUUUGGCAGGAGACUGAUUGGUGGAUGUGUGAAGCUGUGGUCCAGUAGCACAAUGUUAAAGCAGAGAGAGUGUUUCUUGAUGUGGCUUUGCUUGUGGAACACCAAGUGACUGGAUUGCUUUUUAUGAGGCCAAAUCUGAGUGUUUUGGCCUUACCAAUAUACAUAGCUGAGGAUGGGAGGAAAUGUAGAUUUGGUCAUCAUCUUAGUCCUUCCCAGCAAUCUUUUGUUUAGAUCCCCACAGUGGUAUCAACCAGUGAUCUUGUAGUAAAUAGUAAUCUUACUGGUAAAAUCUUUUAAUCCCUUAAAAUGUCUAUUACUUGACUCUUACUUCCUUGGGGAAUCAUUUAAUUAGCCAGCCUGUGGUGGAAUCAUCACGAAUCCAAUUCCUAUUGGAUGUUUAAGGCAGUGCUGGCUCUCAUGUGCACAUUUCCUAAAGUAACUUUGUAAUACCGCAUUAUUCGCCGGCAAAAACCUGCUCCAGAAACCUGUGGGAAGGAACCAAGUGUUUUCACUGAAGGAAGACUUCCAGGGAAGCACAAGAAUUGGUAAGAUAAAAGUAAACAUUUAAUGCCACUAUAUUUUGAUAUCUUUUAAACAUCAUAUCUUUGACAAUAUGUUUCACACCUCAUAUACCACAAAAGGUAAGAGAUUCUUUUUUUAAACCAGCAAACAGUGAACUUUACAUUUUAAUGGCAAAAGGCUUGACAUAUUCAUUCAAUCAGUUUCCAUUUUGUGUGUGUUUCUCGGUUACUUUUCCAUUCUUGUCCUACUGCUGUCUGGGUCCACCCCCUCCCUGUUGGUUCUUUUUCCAGCAAAGCGGAGGUGAGGAACCUCAGAGGCUCUGGGGUCAAGUGCUGCCCCCCCAGCCCACUCUGUCUGGCUCCCAGGACUCUUCUCAGGCCACAUCCCCUCUCUCUAGGUCAACCCUCGCCAGCCCUCCUUGAGUGAUCUUGCUUGACUGGAAUGGGUCUUUGAACCCCGACAGUGGCUCUUGGUUGCCUGGAUCAAGGAAGGUGGGUACGUUUGCAUGGAAGCUAGCAUGUACAAAGGUAACAUUUACAUUUGUCUCUUCGGCCACUUUUGUCUCUGGCCCCACCCAUUGCUGGCAUGUGGCUGACCCCCUGGAAGGUUGCACAGAUGGGAAUGUGGCUCUGGGUCUGGAAGAAGUCCCCCACCCCUGUAAUGGAGCUUAGGUGAUAUAGCAGACGAUUUGUGUGUAGAUCUGUCUUCUUGUGGAACUUCUCGUGACUGACUCAGUAGAAGUGAUUCCCCCUAGCAGGGGUCUCUCUCCAACCUUACGUGACUUUAUUAUACCACGGUUACUAUGGAAAAGGACAUAGCCACAGACAGAAUGAAAUGGAUUCAGCAAAUGUACACUUCAAUGCAUAGCACUUAGAUAAGCAUUUCCAAUCAUGAUGGUUAAAUAAAUUAUAAAGUACAAGCAAUUCUAUAAAGCAAGAACAUCCUGAGUUUACAAAUAAAUUAUGUCCUUCAUACGUCAAAUAGGUGAUGGAUGUCAGAUAGCAGUUUCAGCUAGGGAAAUUGGGGAAGGAGCUGAAAUUUAGAAAAAGUAGUAUCUAUGUGUACAUAAAAUCUUUAGGCGAGUGAGUGUUUUAUUCAGAUACCCAUUCACACGCAUAUUAUACAAUAUAUAAGGUGGCUAAAUUCAUAUAGAGAGUAUAUGUCAUAUAGAUAUAGCUGAAACUGCUUUAAGCACCACUUUUAUUACCAUCAUUUUAUUAUAAAGUAUGCUCCAGAGUUGAGUAGGGCCACUCAAAGUUUUACAAAAUGCAUCCUCUCCUCCAUCCUUGGGAGAUGUUGAAAGAUCAGUUUGAAUGGGUGUUGUUCGGGCUCAAAUAACCUACCAUGGAUUUUUCCUGCAACAGGAACAUCUUGGACCACCUUGAUCAAGCAGGCUGGAAGUUAAUGCUUGAAUCUGAGUACCAGGAAUUCAGUAGCAAAAGGUAUUCUCAAGAUGGUACGUAAAAGAAGUUCAUAUCAACUCCACUGGCAAAUUUGUGGCCAAGUUUGGAUAGUCUGACAACAGAAGUUUGAGAAACAUGCCACAUCUGCUUAGUUGGCCAGAGGCAGAUGCUCCAAUAAAAUAAAAUAAAAACUUUCAUCUGGAAAUAGUUUAGAAAAAAAUUGGUUGCUCUCAUUUCUUGACUAUUAGCUAGAGCAGAGGAAAAAUUCUAUGAAGCAUCAUGGGUGCUCAGCUAUUAUUUUGCAACCUUCGUGCAAGGUGGAAGUUAUUAGCUAAAAAUUAGUUAGGAAAUUGUCGAAUGAGCCAAAGAAUCACAGCCAAGGCUUCUCUGGGCUCUGAAGCAUAUGAUUGCCAAGUGCAGUCACCAGAGCAUAUGGGCCACUGCUUUCCUCGCUGACAUCUGUGGUAGCGAGUUACCAUUUAAUGAGAGUUUGCUUAAUGUUUUACAUGUUGCUUAUGAUCAACAAUAACCAUUUUAGAUGUUGCUUGCAUGUGUCUUUCAUCAUAUAUGCCAUUUGCCAUAGGCACAUCACUGUUCCAUGCCUUGAUGCCAAAAUGUCUGUGGUACAGCUCUUUCCCUCAACAUAGAUCAGGGAAAUAUUUUGUGAGCUACUUUAGCUCAUCUGCUUUCCUUCAGUCCUCUGCCAAUUAGAGAAGGCCUGCUUGGGGGCUCAAAAGGCACAGGGGUGUUGUUUCAUUUUAUAAGGAGCAAAUAGUCACGCUCCAUUUUGAUCACACAUUAUCUGUUUAUAUUAUACAUAUAGUGGCAGAAUUAAUCCUAGAGGUCUAGAGUGCACCUGACCUUAAAUUAUUGACACCUAAAUGCAUUUUUCUAUUUAUUUUUAUAAAUGUUUAAACCAUUUUUCAAAGGUUUAUACGAGGCAACUACAGCCACACAGCUUUAUAGGCAGGAGAACAUGCAUAGAUAAUAACACAGCCCUCGUUUUAAAAUAUAGUUUCUAUAAAAUACAGUGGCAUAAAUGGCCAGCCUGCUGGUGAGUGGGGGCUGUAAAGGUUUUAUGGACAGAGUUUUGCAAUGAGCGUCAUAAGUUAUGCUUUGCUACUUGUAAGUAGCUGCCCUACCUCAAACACAUAAAACAUAGCUGUACCACCACACAGAUUUCCAUCGGUUUAUCUAUGUACCCUCCUAACCUUAUUGUUUUUAACUCAGCAAAGUGAAAAGAUGUGUGUGCUAUGGCUGUUACUUGUUUUCUAAUGUCAGUGUUUAGGAAUGCAAAUAAGGAAAAUUGGGGGGAGGGUUUGUUUGACAUAGACAGCAAACAAAAAAAUACCAUACUAAUCUACAACAUUGAAUAUGAUGUGGACAUAUGAAUGGUAUUUCCACCACCCUCCUCUACCCCUCAGGAGCUGCAUUUUGCCCCAUGGGGAAAAUAGUUUCGGAUGUUUUCUGUGUUUAGAAAAUAGUUUGGGGGAAAGUGUUACAUCCCCCAAUUCCCAAAGAGGAAGCACUGGGGCACCCAAACACCACCUUUAGCCUUCUAAGACACUGCCCAAUCCUCCAUCAUCACAUCUCAUUUGACCCUAGGAUUUUGUGCUUCCAAGUUAUGCCUGUAAUUCAGCAAGUGACACUUGCACAUGAUGCCUUCUUGGUUUGAUCUAGCGAACUUAUCUUAAGCAGCACAUGUGUUCUUACCAGGCACCAAGAGGCCAUGAAGUAGCUUUGCAAAU